CAUGCCCCACACCUUGUCUAUCUCUUCAGUGUCCUAAUGAGCUGCAGGUCCUAUGCUGUUUUCCUGGCUCCCAAGAAAGCUUAAAAAGGGACAGCGGAGCAGGGCACAUGGUGUCUCAGGACUGAGUGACACUUUUCAUGAGGGCAACACAUCGUCACACAUCAAAAGUGUCAUAGCUUGUGAAAAACAACAUUAUCAGCAACAUCACUAUGGACGUUCCAGACAUGGAAACCAGUCAUCCAUCUGAUCUACACCAUGUGCAUAUUUCCAUGAGUAAAGUGUGGUAUUUUAUAGGGACGCUCCAACUGAUGUUCGGUGUGGCCCUGAAUGUCCUGUGGACAAUAGUUAUCUCCAAUUCAUCUCAUUAUGAACUUUCUGCAAUACAACUGCACCCUGUAUUGCCCUACGUAUACCUUCUGG
Heterocephalus glaber (naked mole-rat) is the source of this 420-nucleotide non-coding RNA. NCBI's taxonomy places the organism in Eukaryota, Metazoa, Chordata, Mammalia, Rodentia, Bathyergidae. The record is from RefSeq and is a predicted model, not a curated record.